GCUUUUGCGCAGUGGCAGUAUCGUAGCCAAUGAGGUUUAUCCGAGGCGCGAUUAUUGCUAAUUAAAAGAGAGGUUAGAGUGG
This is a small nuclear RNA of 82 nucleotides. Its record names the gene U4. It matches the Rfam family "U4 spliceosomal RNA". Rfam says of the family: U4 small nuclear RNA (U4 snRNA) is a component of the major U2-dependent spliceosome. The structure of U4 snRNA from yeast and human has been reported. The record is from Ensembl.